This 444-nucleotide ribosomal RNA is filed under the name Triticum aestivum (bread wheat). RNAcentral's name for it is "partial small subunit ribosomal RNA". The record is from RNAcentral. Lineage: Eukaryota; Viridiplantae; Streptophyta; Magnoliopsida; Poales; Poaceae.
AUGAGUAUUAUAUGAUGGAACUGUCGAGGAUUGGGGUCGGCCUCGACAGUUGGCGAGCUUCACUGGCUUGUGAACCUUCACCGACCCACCCUCCUCUUUCUGUCUGAGAUGAAGAUGAGGGAUUCCCGUGUCCGUAAUUUUAUGUGGUCUUUAGGUUUUUCUGGUUGUUUUGCUAUCAGUUCAGAGGGUCAAAGUGGUGGACUAGCUCUUUUUUGGAAGGAUUCGGUGACUGUAUCUUUGAAGGCAUGCAAUUCGAGAUGUAUUGAUGUUCGUGUAUCUUCUGACAUGGCUCCUACAUGGAGAGCUAAUUUUGUUUAUGGGGAGCCAAGAAUAGAAGAUAGAGUUCAUUUUUGGAGCCUUAUUCGGCGUCUGAAGCCGAUGUGGAAUGGUCCAUGGAUUAUUUGUGGGGAUUUCAAUGAGGUUCUUGAAGGAAAUAUGCCCUAG